AUUGAACGCUGGCGGCGGGCCUAAUACAUGCAAGUCGAGCGGUAACAGGAGGCAGCUUGCUGCUUUGCUUACGAGUGGCGGGGGUGUGUGUAAUGUCUGGGAACUGCCUGUAAGAGGGGGAUAACUUCUGGAAACGGGAGCUAAUACCGGAUAAACUCUUUAAACCCAAGGUUUAGGAGUGAAGGACGCUUUUGAUUCGAUUUAGCCAGGUGGGAUUAGCUAGUAGGUUGGUUAACGGCUUACCUAGGCAACGAUCCGUAGCUGGUCUGAGAGGAUGACCAGCCACACUGGAACUGAGACACGGUCCAGACUCCUACGGGAGGCAGCAGUGGGGAAUAUUGCACAAUGGGCGCAAGCCUGAUGCAGCCAUGCCGCGUGUAUGAAGAAGGCCUUCGGGUUGUAAAGUACUUUCAGCGGGGAGGAAGGGAGUAAAGUUAAAACCUUCGCUCAUUGACGUUACCCGCACAGGAAGCACCGGCUAACUCCGUG
This 489-nucleotide ribosomal RNA is filed under the name uncultured bacterium. RNAcentral's name for it is "partial 16S ribosomal RNA". It matches the Rfam family "Bacterial small subunit ribosomal RNA", at positions 30 to 507 of the family's 1533-position model. The record is from RNAcentral.